Long non-coding RNA from Tyto alba (common barn owl), 1238 nucleotides. RefSeq lists it as uncharacterized. The transcript has 2 exons. NCBI's taxonomy places the organism in Eukaryota, Metazoa, Chordata, Aves, Strigiformes, Tytonidae. The record is from RefSeq and is a predicted model, not a curated record.
CUUGAGACAAAUGGAUAGGGCAGCUCUUCCACAGUUUGUCAGGAAUCAACCUGUGUGUUAGCUAAACCUUUCCAGCUGCAAGCAGAGAACUAAGGAAGGCCAGAGAGGAAGGGAGCAUUGUUCUGCACAGAAGAGUUGCACCUCACGGGCUGCAAACACUUCAGGGCUGGGUUACUGAAAAUGUUAUGAAGGAUGCAGAGAGAGAGAAAUCAAGGCCAAGCACAGCUACGGGUUUUGCAUAAGGUCACACAACAAAGCAGUGCAAGGGCAGAAGCAGAAGUGAGCACGUGUGAUGUGGCAGCGCUCUCUAACCAACAGACCAUCACUUCCUUCGCCAGCCCUGCAACAGGAAGGGGAAAAGCAGAAUCAAGCUGCGCAAUGACUGCAAGCUCACCAAUGACUUGAUGCCCAAGAGGAAGACAUGGAUUUUCAUACAGGUCAGCUUCCAGGCCAAGUUAGUAUCAGCACAAUCCCCUAAUAAACAAGGCUGGCAAGAACUAAUGUUGGAUAAUUUGCAUUUUAAAUGCACGCCUCUCCAUAAAGGUUUAGAGCUUUUGCUUCUAAAGAAACACUUGGCCAGAUUCUGCAGCAGCGCACAUCAGCACAGCACUUCUGAAGGCAAAGCAACAGCGUCUAUUUUUAUCAGCUAAGAAUCUGAUCCAGCUCUCUAAGAAAGAAGGGGGCACACAGGGGGGUGAGCCAUUCACCUCCUCUUUGUCUCUUGUAAUGCUGCUUCCCACACCAAACACUCGGCAUCUUGCAGCACUGUGGUCUUCAGAUUGAGGCUUAACGUAUAUUCUCUGGUAGUCACUGAACUGAUUGCCAGCAGAGAAGGAACUGUAAGUCAGCAGUGAUAACCGAGGCCCUGCUGAGCUGUCACCAGUGGGGAACCUUUGCCACUCUGAGAGGUUGAUAGUCUCAUAAAUAACACGUCUUCUAAGAGAUGCUGCAGUUUGACUUGCAUUUCAUUAAAUGUUAAGAAAAUGAGCUGAUGCCUACGUUGAAAUAUGGAGACUUGUGGUUUUAUUACCUGCAUUACCCAUCUCGCCCUUCUUUGAGCAACAUGUUUUUCCUCCAGUCACAGAAAGUCAGGUAUUUUCAAGUUGCGGGCAAGAAGCACGAAGAGGCGUGUGAAAACCAUAGGGCUGAGGGUGGCCUUUGCAGGCUGUGUGAACCAUUUUUCUGGGUGUGCUGCUGAUGCGUUGUGAUUAAAUGCCAUUUUAUCUUGGUGAGGAGCA